Long non-coding RNA from Drosophila serrata, 435 nucleotides. RefSeq lists it as uncharacterized. Lineage: Eukaryota; Metazoa; Arthropoda; Insecta; Diptera; Drosophilidae. The record is from RefSeq and is a predicted model, not a curated record.
CAACGAACUCCAGAUCAGUUCAGAAAUCGGAAGUGAACGAACAACAACUCGAAAUUUUCUACCAAAACAAAUACAAGUAACAAAUUUUGUUUUCAAAUUUUUAUCAAAACUAGGAACUAUUCCGAUAUGGUGCGACCAAGGAAACCCUCUAGUCUGCUAAGGACAACAUAUUGUUAUCUGAUGAGGAUCUACUACAAUCGCUUCUGGUGGAGCAUGAUCAAGAGCUAUGGACUCUUCUUUUUGGCCAUAACAUUGAGCCGUUACUUGCAUGGCUACGAAAUUAUGCCCGAAGCCGUCUGUUAAAAUCUGGCUCCAAAUGACUUGACUGCCUCCUUCCCAUUUUUGAAAUUCGAACUGAUUGAUGAAGCAAAGUAUAUUUUUUGGAUAAAUUUGUCAAAAUUAUGAAACCACAUUAAAUGCAAUUUUAUUCUUGGA